Molecule: ribosomal RNA, 1236 nt
Filed under: metagenome
Description: bacterial LSU rRNA
Rfam family: Bacterial large subunit ribosomal RNA
Source: RNAcentral
UGAAUACGAGAUGCUACGGCGUCGAAGCAGUCUAUGUCAUACUUCCAAGAAAAGCUUGCACUGUCAUAAACAAAUAAUGCCUGUACCAUAACCGACACAGGUGGGUAGGUAGAGUAUACUAAGGGGCGCGAGAUAACUCUCUCUAAGGAACUCGGCAAAAUGACUCCGUAACUUCGGGAGAAGGAGUGCCUUAUUUUAUAAGGUUGCAAUAACAAGAUCCAAGCAACUGUUUACCAAAAACACAGGUCUCCGCUAAGUCGUAAGACGAUGUAUGGGGGCUGACGCCUGCCCAGUGCCAGAAGGUUAAAGAAGUUGGUUAGCAUCCGCGAAGCUGAUAACUGAAGCCCUGGUGAACGGCGGCCGUAACGAUAACGGUCCUAAGGUAGCGAAAUUCCUUGUCGGGUAAGUUCCGACCCGCACGAAAGGCGUAAUGAUUUGGAUACUGUCUCAGAGAGGGGCUCGGUGAAAUAGACUUGUCUGUGAAGAUGCGGACUACCUGCACCAGGACAGAAAGACCCUAUGAAGCUCUACUGUAACUUGAAAUUGAAAUUGGACUUUACUUGCGCAGUAUAGGUGGGAGGCGUUGAGAACAUUCUUGCGGGAAUGUUGGAGCCAUCAGUGAGAUACCACUCUUGUAAUGUUAGAUUUCUAACUUUGUAUCAUUAUCUGGUCAAAGGACAGUUUCAGGCGGGCAGUUUGACUGGGGCGGUCGCCUCCCAAACGGUAACGGAGGCGCACAAAGGUUUCCUCUGAACGGGUAGAAAUCGUAUCUAGAGUGUAAAGGCAUAAGGAAGCUUGACUGUGAGACCUACAAGUCGAGCAGGGACGAAAGUCGGUCUUAGUGAUCUGACGGUGCUGAGUGGAAAGGCCGUCACUCAACGGAUAAAAGUUACUCUAAGGAUAACAGGCUGAUCUCCCCCAAGAGUUCACAUCGACGGGGAGGUUUGGCACCUCGAUGUCGGCUCAUCGCAUCCUGGGGCGGUAGUACGUCCCAAGGGUUGGGCUGUUCGCCCAUGAAAGCGGUACGCGAGCUGGGUUCAGAACGUCGUGAGACAGUUCGGUCCAUAUCCGGUGUAGGCGUUAGAAUAUUGAGAGGAGCCUUCUUUAGUACGAGAGGACCGAGAAGGACAUACCUCUGGUGUACCAGUUAUCGUGCCAACGGUAAACGCUGGGUAGCUAUGUAUGGAGUGGAUAACCGCUGAAAGCAUCUAAGUGGGAAGCCCACCUCAAGAUAAG